AGAAAUACUUUGAAAAAGGAAAGUAACUUAAAUGAAGUUUUAAAGAGAGGAAACCACAGCUGAAAGGUUUCUAAAGGAAUUUUAAGUGAAGUGCCCUUUGGAGUAGUGCACCGAAUUAAGUAGGCUGCACCGGGUUUGCCCGUUAUAGUAAUAGAGCAUAGCGCUGUGCUUGAAAAAGGUGAGAUUUUUGUUAAUCUAAUUAGAGUGGAACCGCGGAGUUAAACUUCGUCUCUUUU
RNAcentral lists this non-coding RNA (236 nucleotides) under Clostridium carboxidivorans. RNAcentral's name for it is "T-box sequence". It matches the Rfam family "T-box leader". From Rfam's summary of the family: Uncharged tRNA acts as the effector for transcription antitermination of genes in the T-box leader family. T-boxes are found upstream of many aminoacyl-tRNA synthetase genes and some amino acid biosynthetic genes usually in Gram-positive bacteria. Lineage: Bacteria; Bacillati; Bacillota; Clostridia; Eubacteriales; Clostridiaceae. The record is from RNAcentral.